This 253-nucleotide ribosomal RNA is filed under the name uncultured bacterium. RNAcentral's name for it is "partial 16S ribosomal RNA". It matches the Rfam family "Bacterial small subunit ribosomal RNA", at positions 524 to 776 of the family's 1533-position model. The record is from RNAcentral.
UACGAAGGGUGCAAACGUUGCUCGGAAUCAUUGGGCGUAAAGCGCACGUAGGCGGCUUCGAAAGUCGGAUGUGAAAUCCCAUGGCUCAACCAUGGACGUGCACCCGAAACUGCGAGGCUUGAGUACUGAAGAGGAUCGCGGAAUUCUCGGUGUAGAGGUGAAAUUCGUAGAUAUCGAGAGGAACACCGGUGGCGAAGGCGGCCAACUGGACGAAUACUGACGCUGAGACACGAAAGCGUGGGGAGCAAACAGG